AUAGUGGUUAUCGCUGAGCUGGGGAUGACUGUCUCGGCCUGAACCUCUGCUUGGGCCCUACCGCACCUAUCCUACACAGGCUUCCUUCCUUGUUGUCCUUCCCUGCCUAAGCCUUCCCUAGGAGCGAGCCGAGGGAGAGGUGGCGCUGGUGGUGGCGGUGGUGACGCGCUGAAGUACAUUGCUUUGAACGGACAGGUGUGGCCCGUAGCUCGAAGUGGGACACACCUCAGGGAGCGGCCAGCCCUCAGGUAAGCUCAGGUGUGGCUUGGCGAGGCGGGACCCCAACCAUCACCGCCAUAGAGGAAGGGUUUUUGUUUGUUUGUUAUUAUCUACUUAAACGAAGGUACUUUUAAAAUAGAUUCCCUUAUGAGAUCACUUGCUGAAAGGUCUCCUCCCUCCCUUUAAUCCCCUCGUCCCUACACCGCAGCGAGGGGGCGGGGGCGGGGAGAUGACCUGACCCGUGACCUGAUGUAUAAGGUAUUCCUGGUUUUCCUGAGAAUUAGCCAGCAGGAUAGAACACGCAGUAAUGGGUUUAAAUUAGAAAAGUGUAGAUUUAGGAGAGAUAUAGGCAAGCAUUGGUUUAGUAAUAGCGUGAUGGGGGAAUGGAAUAGACUCAGCAAUCACAUAGUUAGUGCAGGGACGAUAGCUUGUUUUAAGAGUAGACUGGAUAGCUACAUGGACGAGGAUGACAGGUGAGUGCAGGGACGAUAGCUUGUUUUAAGAGUAGACUGGAUAGCUACAUGGACGAGGAUGACAGGUGAGUGCAGGGACGAUAGCUUGUUUUAAGAGUAGACUGGAUAGCUACAUGGACGAGGAUGACAGGUGAGUGCAGGGACGAUAGCUUGUUUUAAGAGUAGACUGGAUAGCUACAUGGACGAGGAUGACAGGUGGCAGUGAGGUGUGGGUGCAGUAAGGUGACGGGGUACUGGAGCGUACGCCCGUGCCGAAGGUAAACGAGGAUCAAGCCUCUACCUGUAACCCCUCAAACUACACCUCACCCAUUAGGAGUAGUGGGGGGGGUUCUGGAGCUCACCUGUGUAGGCCCACCCGGUCUCUUGCAGUUUCCCUA
Molecule: long non-coding RNA, 1069 nt
Organism: Eriocheir sinensis (Chinese mitten crab)
Lineage: Eukaryota; Metazoa; Arthropoda; Malacostraca; Decapoda; Varunidae
Exons: 3
Source: RefSeq, a predicted model, not a curated record